UGGCUCAGUGGUUAAGAGCACUGGCUGCUUUUCCAGAGGACUUGGGUUCAAUUCCCAA
Molecule: transfer RNA, 58 nt
Filed under: Neotoma lepida (desert woodrat)
Lineage: Eukaryota; Metazoa; Chordata; Mammalia; Rodentia; Cricetidae
Rfam family: tRNA
About the family: Transfer RNA (tRNA) molecules are approximately 80 nucleotides in length. Their secondary structure includes four short double-helical elements and three loops (D, anti-codon, and T loops).
Source: Rfam by way of RNAcentral